Molecule: long non-coding RNA, 998 nt
Filed under: Capsicum annuum
Lineage: Eukaryota; Viridiplantae; Streptophyta; Magnoliopsida; Solanales; Solanaceae
Description: long non-coding RNA (CANN_LNC017684)
Source: RNAcentral
GGGAAGUUGUGUUGAAUUGGUAUCUGAAUCUACAACGAGGUAUGUAAAGCAUACUCUAACAAUGUUCUUUGGCAUGAAAACACCAAUGUUCCAUCAAGUAAGAUUCCGAGGUUGUCCAAAAACAUGUAUUGUUCUACGUUACCAACGAAGUUGUUUCCAUUCUAUAAAGUGUCAAAAUGUUUCAUUGAUAUACCAAAAGGCUCUUAUUUCAUUGUUGUGAUAUUGAUGAUUCUGAAACACAUUGUUGAUGUACCAAUGAGUCUUUAUUACAUCGUUAUUGUAUAGAAGGUCUAUUACUUGGUUCCUAUUGAUGUAUCAUUGUUUCAAGGUAUCAAAAAUGUGGUGACGACCGAAAUAACAAUCUCAAAGAUUAAUUGAACUAAGUGAUGGGAGUUCUCUCUUAUCGGGUGGUAUCCCAGGGGCAUAAGCCUAGCAUGGGUCGAUCCCUAUUUCAUGUGUUUAUGGGUGGUAUCCCAGGGGCAUAAGCCUAGCAUGGGUCGAUCCCAGUUGAUAUGUACUGGAGGCAUCCUAAUGGUCACAGUACAGUACAGUAAUGAUUACAAAGACGAUAAGAACGAAGGUAAAGUGAUUGAAUAAAUACAAUGUACAGGUUGUCACAAGUUCUAGUAAGUGUGGUCCACUCCUAUUACGACUUAUUCACUUGUUUCUGAUUUCUAUUAAGCUCCUAGAUCAUAUGUGAUUAUUUACAGCUUUACAUGCUCAGUACAUAUUUCGUACUGACGUCCCUCACGGGGGACCUGCAUUUCAUGCUGCAGGCACAGGUACCUCAACUCAUAUACCGCACAAGUAGGAGCCAGGUCAUACAGCUAUUGUUGGUGAGCUCCAGUUUGCUUCGGAGCUUUCCGAGUCGGUUCCUUAUGUUUUGUUAUUGUACAUGAGUCACGUGUGGGCGGGGGUUUGUCCCGACCCUAGUUAUGUCAUGUAUAUCCUAGAGGCUUUGUAGACAUAAGGAAGGGUAAAGUCAUGGAAGUUUAUAU